Molecule: ribosomal RNA, 490 nt
Filed under: uncultured bacterium
Lineage: Bacteria
Description: partial 16S ribosomal RNA
Rfam family: Bacterial small subunit ribosomal RNA
Source: RNAcentral
AUUGAACGCUGGCGGCAGGCCUAACACAUGCAAGUCGAACGGUAACAGAAAGCAGCUUGCUGCUUUGCUGACGAGUGGCGGACGGGUGAGUAAUGUCUGGGAAACUGCCUGAUGGAGGGGGAUAACUACUGGAAACGGUAGCUAAUACCGCAUAACGUCGCAAGACCAAAGAGGGGGACCUUCGGGCCUCUUGCCAUCGGAUGUGCCCAGAUGGGAUUAGCUAGUAGGUGGGGUAACGGCUCACCUAGGCGACGAUCCCUAGCUGGUCUGAGAGGAUGACCAGCCACACUGGAACUGAGACACGGUCCAGACUCCUGCGGGAGGCAGCAGUGGGGAAUAUUGCACAAUGGGCGCAAGACUGAUGCAGCCAUGCCGAGUGUAUGAAGAAGGCCUUCGGGUUGUAAAGUACUUUCAGCGGGGAGGAAGGGAGUAAAGUUAAUACCUUUGCUCAUUGACGUUACCCGCAGAAGAAGCACCGGCUAACUCCGUG